RNAcentral lists this ribosomal RNA (253 nucleotides) under uncultured bacterium. RNAcentral's name for it is "partial 16S ribosomal RNA". It matches the Rfam family "Bacterial small subunit ribosomal RNA", at positions 524 to 776 of the family's 1533-position model. The record is from RNAcentral.
UACGGAGGGGGCAAGCGUUGUCCGGAAUUAUUGGGCGUAAAGAGCUCGUAGGCGGUUUGUCGCGUCGGAUGUGAAAACCCGGGGCUCAACCCCGGGCCUGCAUUCGAUACGGGCAGACUAGAGUUCGGUAGGGGAGUCUGGAAUUCCUGGUGUAGCGGUGAAAUGCGCAGAUAUCAGGAGGAACACCGGUGGCGAAGGCGGGACUCUGGGCCGAUACUGACGCUGAGGAGCGAAAGCGUGGGGAGCAAACAGG